UGAGGAGACUGAGGAGGAAGGCAAGGAGAAGAAGGAAGAGGAGCAAGAGGUAAAGGAGAAGAAAAGAAAAAAGAGAGAUAAGAUUAUUAAAAAUCAAACUAAAUACAUAUUGAAAAAACAACUGAAAAACAAACCAAAAGUAGCAACACUCUAACAGAGCAAUAGUAUAAACAAAUUUAUUCAAAGCAUUAAUUUUAUAUUAGUCUAUAUCAGGCUUUCUAACCUGUACAUUAUAUAAAAUUAGGAUUAUUUUCUCUCUUCUUUCCA
This 267-nucleotide long non-coding RNA is filed under the name Homo sapiens (human). RNAcentral's name for it is "non-protein coding lnc-FOXG1-14:1". Lineage: Eukaryota; Metazoa; Chordata; Mammalia; Primates; Hominidae. The record is from RNAcentral.